RNAcentral lists this ribosomal RNA (443 nucleotides) under uncultured bacterium. RNAcentral describes it as "partial 16S ribosomal RNA". It matches the Rfam family "Bacterial small subunit ribosomal RNA", at positions 338 to 795 of the family's 1533-position model. The record is from RNAcentral.
ACUACGGGAGGCUGCAGUGGGGAAUAUUGGGCAAUGGGCGCAAGCCUGACCCAGCAACGCCGCGUGAAGGAAGAAGGCUUUCGGGUUGUAAACUUCUUUUCUUAGGGACGAAGCAAGUGACGGUACCUGAGGAAUAAGCCACGGCUAACUACGUGCCAGCAGCCGCGGUAAUACGUAGGUGGCAAGCGUUAUCCGGAUUUACUGGGUGUAAAGGGCGUGUAGGCGGGAAAGCAAGUCAGAUGGGAAAACCAUGGGCUCAACCUGUGGCCUGCAUUUGAAACUGUUUUUCUUGAGUACUGGAGAGGCAGACGGAAUUCCUAGUGUAGCGGUGAAAUGCGUAGAUAUUAGGAGGAACACCAGUGGCGAAGGCGGUCUGCUGGACAGCAACUGACGCUGAGGCGCGAAAGCGUGGGGAGCAAACAGGAUUAGAUACCCGUGUAGUC